Molecule: ribosomal RNA, 253 nt
Filed under: uncultured bacterium
Lineage: Bacteria
Description: partial 16S ribosomal RNA
Rfam family: Bacterial small subunit ribosomal RNA
Source: RNAcentral
UACGGGGGGGGCAAGCGUUGUUCGGAAUUACUGGGCGUAAAGGGUUCGUAGGUGGCUCGCUAAGCCAGACGUGAAAUCCCUCAGCUUAACUGGGGAACUGCGUCUGGGACUGGAGAGCUGGAGUGCAGGAGAGGAACGCGGAAUUCCAGGUGUAGCGGUGAAAUGCGUAGAUAUCUGGAGGAACACCGGUGGCGAAGGCGGCGUUCUGGACUGCAACUGACACUGAGGAACGAAAGCCAGGGGAGCAAACGGG